RNAcentral lists this ribosomal RNA (641 nucleotides) under uncultured bacterium. RNAcentral's name for it is "bacterial SSU rRNA". It matches the Rfam family "Bacterial small subunit ribosomal RNA", at positions 202 to 846 of the family's 1533-position model. The record is from RNAcentral.
UAAAGGUAUUCCGGUAGACGAUGGGGAUGCGUUCCAUUAGAUAGUAGGCGGGGUAACGGCCCACCUAGUCUUCGAUGGAUAGGGGUUCUGAGAGGAAGGUCCCCCACAUUGGAACUGAGACACGGUCCAAACUCCUACGGGAGGCAGCAGUGAGGAAUAUUGGUCAAUGGGCGAGAGCCUGAACCAGCCAAGUAGCGUGAAGGAUGACUGCCCUAUGGGUUGUAAACUUCUUUUAUAAAGGAAUAAAGUCGGGUAUGCAUACCCGUUUGCAUGUACUUUAUGAAUAAGGAUCGGCUAACUCCGUGCCAGCAGCCGCGGUAAUACGGAGGAUCCGAGCGUUAUCCGGAUUUAUUGGGUUUAAAGGGAGCGUAGAUGGAUGUUUAAGUCAGUUGUGAAAGUUUGCGGCUCAACCGUAAAAUUGCAGUUGAUACUGGAUAUCUUGAGUGCAGUUGAGGCAGGCGGAAUUCGUGGUGUAGCGGUGAAAUGCUUAGAUAUCACGAAGAACUCCGAUUGCGAAGGCAGCCUGCUAAGCUGCAACUGACAUUGAGGCUCGAAAGUGUGGGUAUCAAACAGGAUUAGAUACCCUGGUAGUCCACACGGUAAACGAUGAAUACUCGCUGUUUGCGAUAUACGGCAAGCGC